RNAcentral lists this ribosomal RNA (460 nucleotides) under uncultured bacterium. RNAcentral describes it as "partial 16S ribosomal RNA". It matches the Rfam family "Bacterial small subunit ribosomal RNA", at positions 338 to 795 of the family's 1533-position model. The record is from RNAcentral.
CCUACGGGUGGCAGCAGUGAGGAAUAUUGGUCAAUGGACGGAAGCCUGAACCAGCCAUGCCGCGUGCGGGAAGACGGUACUGUGUAUUGUAAACCUCUUUUGUACGAGGGUAAAGGCAGGGACUCGUAUCUGGCUGAGAGUAUCGUACGAAUAAGCAUCGGCUAACUCCGUGCCAGCAGCCGCGGUAAUACGGAGGAUGCAAGCGUUAUCCGGAUUUAUUGGGUUUAAAGGGUGCGUAGGCGGUCUGAUAAGUUAGAGGUGAAAUCCCGAGGCUCAACUCCGGGAUGGCCUUUGAUACUGUCCGGCUAGAGAGGAGUUGCGGUACGCGGAAUGUAUGGUGUAGCGGUGAAAUGCUUAGAGAUCAUACAGAACCCCGAUUGCGAAGGCAGCUUACCAAGCUACCUCUGACGUUGAGGCACGAAAGCGUGGGGAGCAAACAGGAUUAGAUACCCUUGUAGUC